UGGGGAAUCUUCGGCAAUGGGCGCAAGCCUGACCGAGCCAUGCCGCGUGAGUGACGAAGGCCCUAGGGUCGUAAAGCUCUUUCGCCAGGGAUGAUAAUGACAGUACCUGGUAAAGAAACCCCGGCUAACUCCGUGCCAGCAGCCGCGGUAAUACGGAGGGGGUUAGCGUUGUUCGGAAUUACUGGGCGUAAAGCGCGCGUAGGCGGAUCGGAAAGUUGGGGGUGAAAUCCCGGGGCUCAACCCUGGAACUGCCUCCAAAACUAUCGGUCUUGAGUUCGAGAGAGGUGAGUGGAACUCCGAGUGUAGAGGUGAAAUUCGUAGAUAUUCGGAAGAACACCAGUGGCGAAGGCGGCUCACUGGCUCGAUACUGACGCUGAGGUGCGAAAGUGUGGGGAGCAAACAGGAUUAGAUACCCCCGUAGUCC
RNAcentral lists this ribosomal RNA (424 nucleotides) under uncultured prokaryote. RNAcentral's name for it is "bacterial SSU rRNA". It matches the Rfam family "Bacterial small subunit ribosomal RNA", at positions 355 to 796 of the family's 1533-position model. The record is from RNAcentral.